UUUAUAAGAAGUGUUUCUAUUUUUUUCCCGUCCUUCAAAAAAACAAGGCUUCAAAGUUGAAGACUAAGAGGUUGUUUUGGCAAAUGUACAUCUGUUUAGCAGCCAUGUUUGCAGCAAGAAAGUCAAUGGUAUUAGUGACACAGCUGCUCACCUGUACUCAUAGUAGUCGUCAUUAUACCUGUCCGAAUAUAAUUAGUUGCCAGACAUAUUUUCAGAUAAAGUCUUCAACAGAAGUGACAACUCGAUUAGCUUUUUACUUUAAAUUGCACAAAGGCUGUCAUUGGAUAAUUUAGCUCAUGUGACCAGAAUCUCGCGUCAAGAUAACGUUAAUCAGUUCACAGAUGCUCUUCAACCUGUGAUGCUUACAUCAGCUGUAACCACAGAUGGACCCUAUCAUACGUGACAGGAAGCUCCAUGCUGUGGCCUAAGCUACACAGGAAAUGCCCCCAGUGACCAGCCACCACCAUUCAUUCCAGCAGCAGAAGAUACUCCAGAUAAUCCCGCCUUUCCUUUUCAACUGAGCCCCCUUGUGUUUCUCUGCGCUGUGACAAGGAAACGAUGGCAGUGAGAAAACAAAAUGUACACCUGCGUCUGGAAUGGUCUCUUCCACUAUUCUGCAAGCCUCCCCUGAAUGAGUCAUC
Epinephelus fuscoguttatus (brown-marbled grouper) is the source of this 641-nucleotide long non-coding RNA. RefSeq lists it as uncharacterized. The record is from RefSeq and is a predicted model, not a curated record. The transcript is spliced from 3 exons. NCBI's taxonomy places the organism in Eukaryota, Metazoa, Chordata, Actinopteri, Perciformes, Serranidae.